CGAACGGGUGAGUAAUAUAUUGGAACGUGCCCAGUAGUGGGGGGUAGCCCGGCGAAAGCCGGAUUAAUACCGCAUACGACCUACGGGUGAAAGGGGGGAUCGCAAGACCUCUCGCUAUUGGAGCGGCCGAUAUCAGAUUAGCUAGUUGGUGGGGUAAAAGCUCACCAAGGCGACGAUCUGUAGCUGGUCUGAGAGGACGACCAGCCACACUGGGACUGAGACACGGCCCAG
Molecule: ribosomal RNA, 231 nt
Filed under: uncultured bacterium
Lineage: Bacteria
Description: partial 16S ribosomal RNA
Rfam family: Bacterial small subunit ribosomal RNA
Source: RNAcentral